Long non-coding RNA from Rhinolophus ferrumequinum (greater horseshoe bat), 258 nucleotides. RefSeq lists it as uncharacterized. Lineage: Eukaryota; Metazoa; Chordata; Mammalia; Chiroptera; Rhinolophidae. The transcript has 3 exons. The record is from RefSeq and is a predicted model, not a curated record.
CUGUUUGUUGUGGAACUUAAGAAAGAAUUCAGGUUUUGGAACUCAUCCACUUUUUCCAAGCCCCACUGUUUCCACUACCAUCUCCAACUUGCAUUGCCAGAGGAGAUCUCUUUGAUCCAAUGCAAUCCAGCUACCUUCUCUGUUGUUCAGGCUGUGUGAAUUUAUCUGUCUUCAAGUACACUGAUUCUAUUCCCUGUCAUCUGUAUUGUACUACUGAGCCCAUCCAAUACUAAUUGCAAACAACACUGCAAACAUCAA